RNAcentral lists this long non-coding RNA (1048 nucleotides) under Hordeum vulgare. RNAcentral describes it as "long non-coding RNA (HVUL_LNC006228)". Lineage: Eukaryota; Viridiplantae; Streptophyta; Magnoliopsida; Poales; Poaceae. The record is from RNAcentral.
CCUAACGCAUCAUACAAGUGAACUCGAACAGCACACAAUCAAUAGGAAGAACUGGAUCUUAUAUACACCAUAUGAAUUACACAGUGAGUAUGAACAAAUUGAAUGGUAAAAUUAGACCAGUGAUACAAGCAGCACACAAAUUGAGCACCAUAGCACUUAUUUUAAGCAACGUAAUUAUGAUCAAUGCAUAACAUGACAGACAUUGCUCAUUUGAAUUGCAAUUUGCUAGCAAAUGAUUGCCCAAAGUUCCAACCCUUUGGCACAACGUUGUUGAAUACAAGCGUGUGUCCAUCACUGUUGGUUAGUCUAAAGGCGAGCAUCUUGCCGGUGAGGUUAGCCAUAUGAAUUACACAGUGAGUAUGAACAAAUUGAAUGGUAAAAUUAGACCAGUGAUACAAGCAGCACACAAAUUGAGCACGAUAGCACUUAUUUUAAGCAACGUAAUUAUUCAAAAGGAAUACAUAAUAUCCAUUUCCUAACUGGAUAUUUUUCUGUGCCUGUAUGUUAGCAGGUUACCAUACAUAGCAAAGGGCAUAAUCUAUUUACUUAAUGCAUCAUAAAAGUAAAUUCAAACAGUACACAGUUGAUAUAAUAAACACAAUACAAAUUUGCUAGCACAGUGAGUAUAUACACCAUACGAAUUACACAGUGAGUAUGAACAAAUUUAAUGGUAAGAUUAGAUCAGUGCUACAACAAGCAGCACACACAUUAAGCACCAUAACUAGUAUUUUACACAACAUAAUUAUGACAAAUCCAUAGCUCGGUAGACAUUGUUCACUAGAAUUGCAAUUUGCUAGCAAAUGAUUGCCCAAAGUUCCACCCCUUUGGCACAAUGUUGUUGAAUACAAGCGUGUGUCCAUCAGUGUUGGUUAGCCUGAAGGAGAGCAUCUUGCCGGUGAGGUUAGCCAGCGAGUGCCAGUUAGCGCCCCAGUUGCGUGCCAUAGGCGUCCAGUCCUCGGAAUCAGAGCACUUCACAUCCAUGGACUGGAUCGAGCCUGUUGCAGCAACGUUGCUCACAAGCACAAGAAUGAAGUAAUCGUGACCAUUA